This 66-nucleotide transfer RNA is filed under the name Scolytinae sp. BMNH 1040341. RNAcentral describes it as "tRNA-His". Lineage: Eukaryota; Metazoa; Arthropoda; Insecta; Coleoptera; Curculionidae. The record is from RNAcentral.
GCCUAAAUAGUUUAUGUUAAAAUUUCAAUUUGUGGGGUUGAGGAAGUGAUUGAUUUACUUUGGGCA